This 465-nucleotide ribosomal RNA is filed under the name uncultured bacterium. RNAcentral describes it as "partial 16S ribosomal RNA". It matches the Rfam family "Bacterial small subunit ribosomal RNA", at positions 338 to 795 of the family's 1533-position model. The record is from RNAcentral.
CCUACGGGUGGCAGCAGUGGGGAAUAUUGCGCAAUGGGCGAAAGCCUGACGCAGCGACGCCGCGUGAGGGAUGAAGGUCUUCGGAUCGUAAACCUCUGUCAGCAGGGAAGAACGGUCACUGUGCUAAUCAGCAGUGAAUUGACGGUACCUGCAAAGGAAGCACCGGCUAACUCCGUGCCAGCAGCCGCGGUAAUACGGAGGGUGCGGGCGUUAAUCGGAAUUACUGGGCGUAAAGCGCUCGUAGGCGGUAUGUCAAGUCAAGGGUGAAAUCCCCGCGCUCAACGUGGGAACUGCCUUUGAAACUGGCAGACUGGAGUGCGUGAGAGGAUAGUGGAAUUCCAGGUGUAGGAGUGAAAUCCGUAGAUAUCUGGAGGAACAUCAGUGGCGAAGGCGACUAUCUGUCACAUAACUGACGCUGAGGAGCGAAGGCGUGGGUAGCAAACAGGAUUAGAUACCCCAGUAGUC